ACCAUUUUCCCAUUGCGGCGGGGUUAGUUUGCGAGACUACCCGACGUAGCAAAUGAGAAUUUAUGCCAUGGUAGCAUCUUCUGAACUUUCCUUUCCCUCACUUUCUCCUUUUUCCACCCCUAGGGUUUUCAGCAGUAAACCUCUUUAGAUUCCCAUUAGCAUUGCGGAAACAAACCCGUCAGUGUCAGUAGACGAUUUCCUUCCGACCUUCACUGCCAUUAGAAGCCAGCAAUGGAGGGAAAUCAGCUAACCCCAAGCUUGAUUCAACUUCAUCCAUAUCUGAGUAGGAGAAGUAAAACAAACUCCUCCAUUUCUGAGUGGUGAAUCUUUCCAUCCAAUUCCUACAGGAAGGAGAGAUAGUGUCAUGUCUUAUCCACAAAUUGCUUAAAUGGAGCUUCCAGCACCAGAUGAUGAUCUCUCUGCCAUCCUGCUCAAGUUUUUCACUAGAAAUUUUCAACGAACAAGAAACACUCGGCCAUUUGGGUAAAUUUACUAAACCCUAUUGACAAUUUUCCUCCUAUAAUCAUAUUUCUUGAAUCCAACUGGGGUUUUUGUUUAUGCUUGAAUAACGUUUAGCUUGUAAUUGUGAAUCAAAUUUGUGUAUGGGUUUCACUAGAGAAAGGAAGUGAUUGAUCCAGUUCUUAAUGUGUCAAUCAAUCUAUUGCACAAUUCUGGUUUUAUUUUCUAAUGUAUGAUUGAGACUUGUUAUUUCA
This is a long non-coding RNA of Papaver somniferum (opium poppy), 713 nucleotides long. RefSeq lists it as uncharacterized. The transcript is spliced from 2 exons. NCBI's taxonomy places the organism in Eukaryota, Viridiplantae, Streptophyta, Magnoliopsida, Ranunculales, Papaveraceae. The record is from RefSeq and is a predicted model, not a curated record.